UUCCUUUAGAAUAUAUUAAAGGUAUCGCCUGCCCAGUGUAUUGUAUAAUAAAUGGCUGCGGUAUCCUAACUGCACUAAGGUAGCAUAAUUAAUUGUCUUCUAAUUGGUGACUUGAUUGAAAGGCGGAAUGAGAAAAAGUCUUUUUUAUGUUUAAUAAGAAUUUAUAUUUUAAGGUUAAAAUACCUAAUAUAAAAAGAAAGACGAGAAGACCCUGUUGAGUUUAUCGGUUAAAAAUAACUGUUAAAUGGGAAAUUUGGUUUUUUUUUAAAAUUUCAAUGAUCCUGGGGUUUUUAUAAUUCCCGGAAAAAGGAUAAAGUUACCACAGGGAUAACAGGACUAUAUUUAUUGAGAGUUCUAAUCGAAAUAAAUGAUUGUUACCUCGAUGUUGAAUCGAAGUUUCUUCGUAAUGCAUCAAUUACAGAAGUAGGUCUGUUCGACCUCUAAGACUUC
RNAcentral lists this ribosomal RNA (450 nucleotides) under Armatoplana albomaculata. RNAcentral describes it as "partial 16S ribosomal RNA". It matches the Rfam family "Bacterial large subunit ribosomal RNA", at positions 1831 to 2597 of the family's 2925-position model. The record is from RNAcentral. Lineage: Eukaryota; Metazoa; Platyhelminthes; Polycladida; Stylochoplanidae.